This 238-nucleotide long non-coding RNA is filed under the name Setaria viridis. RNAcentral describes it as "long non-coding RNA (SVIR_LNC010248)". Lineage: Eukaryota; Viridiplantae; Streptophyta; Magnoliopsida; Poales; Poaceae. The record is from RNAcentral.
UAUGGGGUGCUACUCAGGUGCUCUAACUACUAGGCUAGAGGCACUUUCACUUAUUUGCAAUUAUAUUGUAUGGAAAGUAUAAAAAUAUAUUUAAUUAUUUCCUAUAUAUAAAAACAAUAACUAAACUUUGUAUACUACGUUCACAUGCAGUUGCUCUACUACUUUUUUACUUUACUUUCACUUCAUAAACUCACAAAAUAUGAUUGAAUUAUUCAUUCAUUCUAAUUUUAUCUUUUAC